Molecule: long non-coding RNA, 1356 nt
Filed under: Mytilus galloprovincialis (Mediterranean mussel)
Lineage: Eukaryota; Metazoa; Mollusca; Bivalvia; Mytilida; Mytilidae
Source: RNAcentral
GUUUUGUUAAUAUUAUGAAUGGCAAAUUAAGUAUUUAAUUGAUAAAAACCACUGUGAAUUUUUAAGUGUUAAGUCAGACAUCUAGUUUAGUUUAAACAUAUUUAUUUUAUAGUGGAUUGGGAAACAAGUUUUUCAACUUAUAUUUAUCACUUUCCAGUUUGCGGGUGCGAGUGCUGCCUUGUAGCGGCAUUAGCCUGCUCUUUUUCGAAAUCUACAAGGGUGUUUUAAACGUGCAAGAGAUAUGGCUCUCUCUUAACACGGGUCAGCCCCUUCCGACUGACUAUCAUCGUUUCCUCAAGACCAUACUCGCAAAUGGUGUCAAGGGAGAGCCGAAAAUUAAGUCCCUGAAAUUUUCAUCCUAGACGGGAAUUGAACCAGGAACCUUAGUCUGUCAUAAAAUAGAAGCUCCUUUAUAAUAAUACUUCCAAAAGGAAGGAAUAUUCUGAAAUGCUAUUUUCACUGGAAAAUAUAUUACAGUAAUGGUUUCUGUAAAAAUUAGCUGUAAUGCUUAUGGAAUAUUUGUACCCUCAAGAACAGAUUUUAUAGCAUUGUUUAUAACGGAGUGUCCAGAGGGACUUCUGAUAUUAUGGAACAAAUAUAUAUAUUAACAUAACUUCUAACUAGGAAACAAAAAGGAAAAAUAAAGAAAUAAUUCCUACAAUCUAUUUUAAACCAAAGUAAAAUAACAUGCCAAUGUUGACUCAUAUUAAGUAAAUAUAGAAAAUCUGAUCAAGGAGCGAGGAGUACUUGUUAUUGCGGAUUCUUUUCAAUAAUAUAUUUACAACUAGGCGACAUAAGAUUCAGUAUUGAGACCUUUUUUUUUAGAGGGAGGCCAAGGGGACCCAAUGAACCCCCUUUUUCUAGGAAAAAAUUGGUUGAUUUUAUUGGAAAUCCCCUUAAGCAUGGCCGGAGCAGGCACCCUCUAAGGCAGUCAGUGGGCCCCACUUAUGGGAUUCGCCACUGUUUUUAGUUGAUGUGUAAUAAGGAACUCCUGACUUUUUUGUUUAAUAACUUUAUGUGUAAAGGAAGUUUCCUCCUGUUAGGAUAUUACUUCCCAAGGUUGGAAGGAAAUGAAGUUCAUUUAAAGCCCUGGAUGGGUUUAUAGAAUAGUAAUUAAUGGGCCAAAUGUAAAUAGAGAAAAAAAAUUGAAUACACAAUAAUGCUGUGUUAGAUGUAACGAAUAGAGAAUAAUAUGGUGUUAAAAUAUAAAUAGAGAAUAAUAAAUAAAGAUAAAAGAAAACAGAAAGACUGAUUUUGAUUGUCUGUUUAUUAUCCUUAACUUAAUAAACUUAAUCAUCAAUCUUUCAAACAUCUAAAAUUUAAUGUGCAUCAUUGUCUGUUUCUCUUUUUCGCCAC